RNAcentral lists this non-coding RNA (148 nucleotides) under Nomascus leucogenys (northern white-cheeked gibbon). Lineage: Eukaryota; Metazoa; Chordata; Mammalia; Primates; Hylobatidae. The record is from Rfam by way of RNAcentral.
GCCAGGCGUGGUGGUGGGUGCCUGUAAUCCCAGCUACUCAGGAGGCUGAGGCAGGAGAAUUGCUUGAACCCAGGAGGUGGAGGUUGCAGUGAGCCAAGAUCUCGCCACUGCACUCCAGCCUGGGUGACAGAGCGAGACUCUGUCUCGG